UCUAAUGUGGCAGAUAAAUGCAAUGAAUUUAAGAUUCUUAUAUAAAUAUUAUUAUUUCUUUAGAA
Molecule: transfer RNA, 65 nt
Filed under: Philya sp. CPL-2004
Lineage: Eukaryota; Metazoa; Arthropoda; Insecta; Hemiptera; Membracidae
Description: tRNA-Leu
Source: RNAcentral